UAAAUAUUUGUAUAAAAAUAGACAAAGCAUAAAUUGUGCAAGAAUGAUUAGACAUUACAAGAACAAAAAGCGUAUAAGAUAUUAAAUAUGUUAACUGAAUCAUAGUGAGAACUUGUAAAAUUGUAUAAGGUAUAUUAUACCCCAAAAAAGAAAACGAAAAAUAGAAGACGUAAUAUACCUAACGCAGACAUGAUAAAGAAGCUGACGAAUAAUACAUAAGAAAUUGUCCUCUCCAUUUCUGAUAAAAUGAGGAAAAGUGUUGUGCUAUUCCGUUAACAAAGGCUAAGUAUUUAUACAGCAGUCAUGAGAUUCACAAUUAAUACAGAGAAUCAUGAUGUGUAUAUAUACUAAUUAUGUCAGUAACUAUGGUGUAUAUUCGGCUUUAAUUGGUGAUCUGAUUAGAGGAAAUAUAAGGAAAACGUGAUGCUUCUCUAAAUAUACACUAUUUAAGAAGAAUUAAUACUUUCUUGGCGCUCACUUUCCACAGAUAACCAUUGUAUCUAAACCGGUUUAAUCAAUGUUUCGAGGUAACGACAUCGUUUUUGAUGCUCACGUUACUUUCUUGGCGCUUACGUCACAUCCCAUAUAUCAUAUAACCAUCGAAUACUGAGAACUAAUAAAAAAUGUGAUUUUUGUAGUAAAGUUGUUAGAUUGUAUAAGGUAUACGGGAACUAGAAACACUCUUGCUUUUGGGAUCGGUCUCUACAAGUGGCGAAUAUACUCGCUGAGGUUUAGGAGCAGAAGAGCAUAGAAACAACAUCAAAAUCGAACCGUGUCUUUUUUUGUACUAGAGAGCUUUUGUCUGGAUCCCAAAGUUGUUGUGUUCAUGUCGUGAACAUAUUUCUGUCUCUGCAGAGCAUGAUCAAUAUGCUAAAGCAAGACACAAUAUGCUAAAGUUUUUGUGGUUUGCUCCGUAGCCUAACCUUAUUGGCCAGCUUCAUCUUCAUCCUCUGUUCCAGGAGAAGCUUCUCUUUAGCUUCUUUUGAUUCCAGUGGGUUUCUUGGGACAGCAGCGACAACAGUCUUAGGUGGUUCCUCAUUGCUCUUGGGCUCAGCUCCGUCUACUCUAGAAGCAGCUGCCUUCACAAUUGUUGAUCUUCCAUUCCUUUUUCUCAAGUUGUAAGCACUGAGUGAGACUCUGUUCUUUGACUCGAUGGUUUUGGGAUUAAGGAUGAAACUGAAACCCAUGUGAAGAAAAAAAAGAAAGAAAAAAGAUCAGAGCUUUCACACCAAGUAAAAAGCUAAGAAAUUAAUGUGUUCCAUAAAAUGUCUUGAUGAGCUUAUGUUUACUAUUAGAUAUAGAAAAGUGUACAUAAUACACGUGUACAUACAUGUAUAUAUAUACUCACAUGUACAUUCAUUCAUUAAUUAAUGAGAGAUAUACUUUAAGUUUGUUACACUCUUGAUAUUUACUUAUGAGCUUUUAGCCAUCCACUACCACCUAAUCUGCAUCAACCAGGCAGGAUUAUUUCAGCUUAUAUCCACCUAUUAUUGUUGAUUCAGUGGCAAGCCUGAUCAUGAUAGCUUCAGUUUUCGCCUUCAGAAGCUGGGGUAAGGUAACAACAGGGACGCAACCGUCAAGAAGAUAAGUGUCAAUGAAGGCGCGGCAUCGAUUGGUUUUUGGUUUAUUAAGAACUAUCGAACUUGCGGAGAAAUUCAAACCUUGGAGUGAGAUUCAAGAUAGAGCAAAGAUCGGACCAAAUAGGUGUGAAGUCUUACCUCUCUUGGUCGUGAGAAAGAAAAAGAAUAGUAUUAGCCUAGUGGUUUUCAGACUGAUCAAACUUCAGAGUACGAACCAGGGACAAGCCUAUGGAGCAUCCAGCGAUGCAGUACAUAUAAAGAAAUACAUUUUUACUUUAAUUUAAUAGAGUCUCAUUCACACACAUAGCUUUGAGAUCAAUACCCAAAUCGAACCAGCUUAUCCCAAACCAAUUUGGUUUUGAUUCAGACUCGAUUAUAUCUUAGGUUCAAUUUGAAAAUAGUUUUAUUAAACAAAUUCGAUGAUACCGUCAAUCAACUCCAAUCCAAGUUAAAUAAGUAUAGAAUAUAAUAUAACUUAAUAAAUUAUAAAAUAAUAUUAAAAAACUUUUAUAUAAAUAAAUAGUUUUAUUCAUCAUGAAUUAAAAGACUAUAUAAAAUUUUAUAUAAACAGAAACAAAGCAAUUUAUUUGUUAUUUUACUAUAAAAUGAUUUCAUCUAUAAUUUUAUUUUACAUUUUAACAUUUUGUGUUAUUUUAUUGAAUUACAUAUAAAAAUUUAGUAUUCUAUCAUAUCGAUUCAGCACACACAAAAUAUAUCAAAUCCUAAUAAAAUACCUAAAUUCAAAUUUAUAAAAUUUAACUAAUAUAUAAUAUUGUGAAUAAAAUAUGUUUCAAUCCUGUAAAUAACAAAAAAAAAAAUAUUCAAACAAUCUUAAGGGAUUAUUUGUAUAAUUAAAAUUUUGAAUAUAUAAAUUAUCAUAAUCUAAACAUUAUUGUAAUUUCCAAAUACACUUACAAACAAACUUGUAUCUUUUUGUAGACAAAUCUGCGCGAAGUGCAGACUUGCCCUAGUCUUUAUAUAUAAAGAGUACAAUUGCUUCUGUCACAGCCUUCCACAUCAGCCUCCACAUAUGAAAGUCGUGCGUCCUGAAGCCGCCACGGGUCCAUCCACACAAAACGCGCCGUUUCAUUUAUUCUUCAGCAUAGUGGGCUUUCUUUGGGUGUUCUGUAUCUAGGCUUUGGACUGUCGAGUUUAGUUCCGUAUCCGCCCCGAGAGAACAGAAGACGCCACUAACCCUAAUCAGUAGGCAUGGGCGUUCGGGUACCCGUUCGGGUUUCUUGGAUUUCGGUUCCAUUUUGUAACACCUCCUAGGUCCCAUUCUAGUAAAUUUACAGGUACAGAUCGGAUUCGGAUAUAACACUUCGGUUUUGGAUCGGUUCGGAUAUAUCCGAAGUAACCACAUAUCAUUCGGAUUCGGCUUAUAUCGGAUCGGUUCGGAUAUAUACAAAGUAAAAUCUAAAAUUUAAAAGUAUAACAUAAGAAAUAUAUUUUUCUUUGCAUAUAAUAGAGUAUUUAAGGUAUUUAUUUAAUUUUUCAAUACUUAUUGUUAUAUAUCAUAUCCAAAUAAAUAUGAAAUUAAAUAUUUGAAGUACAUAUUUAUAUCAAAUAUUUAUAUUAUGUAUUAAUUUGAACAUUCGGAUUGGUUUCCUCGGAUAUUUUUUCGGGUUUUCGUGCUUUUCAGAUUUUCGGGUUGCCCGUUCGGGUUCGGUUAAUAACACUCCGGGUUCGGAUAUGUUUAGUAACACCCUAUAAGAUCCAUUGAAGUAUUUUUUACAUUUCGGAUCGGGUACGGAUAGGUUUUUUCGGUUCGGAUUCGGAUUGGAUUUCGGGUUUCGGAUUUUAUGCCCAGCCCUACUAAUCAGCUUCAGACAAGAAACGAAGGUUGUAUCUCUGCAUCCUUCGACGGCGACUCGAUGUCGUGUCCUCUUUCUAUCACCAUCUGAAACAGUCCGAGUUAAGAGUUCGUGUUUAAUCCCAUCGAUUCGCUCUCCCACGAUGUGUAUUCAAAGCAUUCUUCGAGCUGAGAGGCGGUGUGGUUUUUGUAUAAAUAUAUGGUUUUUUCUCUGAUCUGAAGUCCGGCAAGUGUACCUCCGUCAUCGAGGCUAGGCUCCUGCGGUUCUGGGAGGCCAGGAACAUUAAAUGCGGUGGGGAACUCAUGUGGGUUGAUAUGCUCCUGGUGGAUGUUAACGCUACCAUGAUGCAAGCCACCAUCAAUGCUAGCGGGCUUCCGAGAUUUCGGUCUAGGCUCGCCGCCGGGACGAUGUUCUCCGUCUCCGGAUUUGAUGUGUCUGGUGUGCCCAGAAUUUCCUCCUUUCUUCACUAUCACCACGAGUAGAAAGAUGACCAUCAUGAAGGCUUGAGUCAUCUGUAAUUUUUUCCUCAAGAUCUAAAAAACAAGAUUGAAGAAUCUAAGUUAUAAAGAAGCUUUGCAAUUUGGUAUUUGAGUUUUUUUAUAAAUCUACAAUAAUGAUUUUGAGAUUGAUUCUUCUCCUGUUUCAUUACAUCUCAGUGUUUGCUAUCUGAGUGUUUUUUUACGCUCAAGCCAACCAUCUUAACCAGAAGUUAUUGGCCUUGGAUGUGGAGCCUGAGGUGAUGCCGCUACCAGUAAUAACCUCAAGUUCAUGGGAGGUAACCUUUCAUUGAUCUCCUACAACUUGCAGGCUGGAUUUUCCUAAAUGCAAUUUCUGGCACACAUAUAUACUUACUAUGACAAAGAAACAAGUGACAGUGACACCUUCAUAGCCAGCUUUGGUAAUGGUGACUUAGCCUCUUCCCAGCGCCGGUCAAUAUGUUUCAUGGGCCCUACUCAAAAUUUGGACUUUAGCUGUGUAAAAAAAUUGAUGAAACAGUACCUUAAAGGAAAAACGAGAAUUAUGUAUGGGCCCGUAAGCGGCAGCUUAUACUGCUUCCGCAGCGGGCUAUGCCUGCCUCUUCCACAAGUUCGAUGAAAUAUGGUGGUGCUGAUAAAAUAGAAACAGUAACAGUGUCAGAGCUCAACACCUAUGUUCUCAACUCUACACCUCAGAUCCAUUGCCUAUAUCUUUCCUAAUGCUUAUUGUUUUCACAUUCAUUCAUUGUAGUGUUCUACUUCAGGUUGUAGUGUUCUUUAUUCCUUAAAAAGGAAUUUUUUAUUAGAUCUGUCGUUAUGCA
Brassica rapa (field mustard) is the source of this 4691-nucleotide long non-coding RNA. RefSeq lists it as uncharacterized. The record is from RefSeq and is a predicted model, not a curated record. NCBI's taxonomy places the organism in Eukaryota, Viridiplantae, Streptophyta, Magnoliopsida, Brassicales, Brassicaceae.